UUAUAUAUAUAUAUAAAAACAACGCCCCUCUCACCCUAUGCGGGUGGGUGGUUUCUAUAUAUAUAUAUACACACACACAGCAGCUCUUAAACCCUGAAAUGAAUUUAGCCAGUUUAUAAAGUGGACUGAUGGAUGGAAAUUUACUCAAGUAAAUGUAAAACCCACAAUCCAGUUAAAUCAUUUUAAGAUGUGUAAUUUUUUUUUAAAGUACUCAAAAAAUGUAUCCGAGUAAAUGUUACCACCUCUCCAUAGAACACUGUGCCAAGAUUAGAAUUCUAUUUUUGUUGUAGUUUGAAUAAGUUUAUAGUCAACACCAUCAGCAUCUAUUCUUUUUCUAUUUCUUCCAGGAUCCUCCUACAUUUAACCAACUCCAAUUAUCUUAGUUCAUACUUCUGGGAAGAGUUUGAAAAUCCAUGGCUGAUGGGGAUUUCCCUCUAUCGUAUUCCAUAAAUGACAUCACUAGGCUUGCUAUGCCAAAUAGAAGAACAAUGUGGUCUUUCUUACCUGUCGGAGGGUGUACAUUCCAUCCCUGCUAAACCAAGACUCAAUCCUGCCUCAAAGCCACUUCUGCUUGAGCAGGGCCCUCGCUGCCAUGCUUGCUCUGACUUCCAGGUGCUCCACAUCACACUCCUCAAAUUUUUACUACUUUAGCAGCUUUUUGGAAGCACAUUGUUCUGGCCGGUUCUAAGACAACCAUUUGGCUCACUUUUCUUUAUGUUUCAGCGUUAAAUCUCUUUUUUACCUGUUUUGUUUUUAGAAAACUGGAAUCCAAAUAAUUUACAGUGUUUUGGGGGAAUUUGUAAGCAGCUACCUUUUUCUCAGAGGACAGACAUUUUUUGUGGUGUGUGCCAGACUGUUGGUUUGUGGUUUGUAAUGUGGGCAAAGGGGAAAUUUGGAGGUUGGAGUGCAAGCUUGAGGAUACAAUAGUGUAAAAAAAAGAAAAAAAGAUGGUGUGGGUGCUUUACAGGAAGGUUGCGUUUGUCUGCACAGAGCCAUCCCAUUUAUGCUGGUGGCUGCAGAGAAGCCUAACAGGGAGAGACAGAGUUGAAUAGGACUCAGAGCAAGAGGCCCUGAGCCUUGUACCCUCCUGUACUAUGUUUGAACGGCUCUAACAUUUUUACCUUGUAUUUUUUCACACCAAAAGGAUCCUGCUGAACACCUGAUUUUAUUUUUAAUUUUUACCUAUCAACUGUUGAAGAUGCGGAGAUUCUUGCUCAGGUACGUUCUUCUCUUAGUACUUUUGUGUUGACACUGCACACUUCUUAGGAAGACUGGUGACUGAUGAUGCUUUUAAUAAGUUCCAGCAAAAAAAAACACACAGAGUUUCAGAAAUGUUAAGCUAGAAUUAAACCCUAAUAACACAUGAAUAAAUACAUACAAAACAUGGUUUUGAAUACAUUUGAAAUGAAUAUAACUUAUAACAACAUGCUCACCCGGUUUAAAAGGCGUACUCUUCAAAGUACCUUUCAAGUAUUUUGUAAAAGUAUGUAGUUCGUUUUGCCUGUACAAAAAAACACAAU
Molecule: long non-coding RNA, 1520 nt
Filed under: Oryzias sinensis (Chinese medaka)
Lineage: Eukaryota; Metazoa; Chordata; Actinopteri; Beloniformes; Adrianichthyidae
Description: lncRNA (ENSOSIG00000010819.1)
Source: RNAcentral